Molecule: ribosomal RNA, 468 nt
Filed under: uncultured bacterium
Lineage: Bacteria
Description: partial 16S ribosomal RNA
Rfam family: Bacterial small subunit ribosomal RNA
Source: RNAcentral
GACGAACGCUGGCGGCGUGCUUAACACAUGCAAGUCGAACGGAAAGGCCCUGCUUUUGUGGGGUGCUCGAGUGGCGAACGGGUGAGUAACACGUGAGUAACCUGCCCUUGACUUUGGGAUAACUUCAGGAAACUGGGGCUAAUACCGGAUAGGAGCUCCUGCUGCAUGGUGGGGGUUGGAAAGUUUCGGCGGUUGGGGAUGGACUCGCGGCUUAUCAGCUGGUUGGUGGGGUAGUGGCUUACCAAGGCUUUGACGGGUAGCCGGCCUGAGAGGGUGACCGGCCACAUUGGGACUAAGAUACGGCCCAGACUCCUACGGGAGGCAGCAGUGGGGAAUAUUGCACAAUGGGCGGAAGCCUGAUGCAGCAACGCCGCGUGCGGGAUGACGGCCUUCGGGUUGUAAACCGCUUUCGCCUGUGACGAAGCGUGAGUGACGGUAAUGGGUAAAGAAGCACCGGCUAACUACGUG